CCUACGGGUGGCAGCAGUGGGGAAUAUUGCACAAUGGGGGAAACCCUGAUGCAGCGACGCCGCGUGAGCGAUGAAGUACCUCGGUAUGUAAAGCUCUAUCAGUAGGGAAGUAGAUGACGGUACCUGACUAAGAAGCCCCGGCCAACUACGUGCCAGCAGCCGCGGUAAUACGUAGGGGGCAAGCGUUAUCCGGAUUUACUGGGCGUAAAGGGAGCGUAGACGGGGAUGCAAGCCAGAUGUGAAAGCCCGGGGCUCAACCCCGGGACUGCAUUUGAAACUGUGUGGCUGGAGUGUCGGAGAGGCAGGCGGAAUUCGUGGUGUAGCGGUGAAAUGCGUAGAUAUUAGGAGGAACACCAGUGGCGAAGGCAGCCUGCUGGACGAUGACUGACGUUGAGGCUCGAAAGCGUGGGGAGCAAACAGGAUUAGAUACCCCAGUAGUC
RNAcentral lists this ribosomal RNA (440 nucleotides) under uncultured bacterium. RNAcentral's name for it is "partial 16S ribosomal RNA". It matches the Rfam family "Bacterial small subunit ribosomal RNA", at positions 338 to 795 of the family's 1533-position model. The record is from RNAcentral.